Long non-coding RNA from Oncorhynchus keta (chum salmon), 785 nucleotides. RefSeq lists it as uncharacterized. NCBI's taxonomy places the organism in Eukaryota, Metazoa, Chordata, Actinopteri, Salmoniformes, Salmonidae. The transcript is spliced from 4 exons. The record is from RefSeq and is a predicted model, not a curated record.
AUAUGACUGAGUCACUCAGCUUUAUGUAGGUGCCGAGGCUAUAUGACUGAGUCACUCAGCUUUAUGUAGGUGCCGAGGCUAUAUGACUGAGUCACUCAGCUUUAUGUAGGUGCCGAGGCUAUAUGACUGAGUCACUCAGCUUUAUGUAGGUGCCGAGGCUAUAUGACUGAGUCACUCAGCUUUAUGUAGGUGCCGAGGCUAUAUGACUGAGUCACUCAGCUUUAUGUAGGUGCCGAGGCUAUAUGACUGAGUCACUCAGCUUUAUGUAGGUGCUGAGGCUAUAUGACUGAGUCACUCAGCUUUAUGUAGGUGCCGAGGCUAUAUGACUGAGUCACUCAGCUUUAUGUAGGUGCCGAGGCUAUAUGACUGAGUCACUCAGCUUUAUGUAGGUGCCGAGGCUAUAUGACUGAGUCACUCAGCUUUAUGUAGGUGCCGAGGCUAUAUGACUGAGUCACUCAGCUUUAUGUAGGUGCCGAGGCUAUAUGACUGAGUCACUCAGCUUUAUGUAGGUGCCGAGGCUAUAUGACUGAGUCACUCAGCUUUAUGUAGGUGCCGAGGCUAUAUGACUGAGUCACUCAGCUUUAUGUAGGUGCCGAGGCUAUAUGACUGAGUCACUCAGCUUUAUGUAGGUGCCGAGGCUAUAUGACUGAGUCACUCAGCUUUAUGUAGGUGCCGAGGCUAUAUGACUGAGUCACUCAGCUUUAUGUAGGUGCCGAGGCUAUAUGACUGAGUCACUCAGCUUUAUGUAGGUGCCGAGGCUAUAUGACUGAGUCACUCAGCUUUAU